Engraulis encrasicolus (European anchovy) is the source of this 360-nucleotide long non-coding RNA. RefSeq lists it as uncharacterized. The transcript has 3 exons. NCBI's taxonomy places the organism in Eukaryota, Metazoa, Chordata, Actinopteri, Clupeiformes, Engraulidae. The record is from RefSeq and is a predicted model, not a curated record.
ACCAGAUAACUCAGGGCCCCCCAAGAGCUCCAUUACUGUCUACAGACAUGUCCACCCAUCAUGCUCAGACUGUGGCGGAAGACAAGCACACGCACUGUAUUUAUACUGGUGAUGAAGCAGAGGGCCCAGAACACUUCAGGAGCAUCACUCCGUCAGGGAGCUGCAGCAGCUCUGACAGCAGCAAGGAUGUUUUGAUAUGGACCUCAGUUCGUCAGCAUACAUAUAGUACAGCCAGAGUGGACUCCAAGACAGACAGAUUUUUUUCAUCUACUUUCUGGACUCCUGAGAAACUCUAAUUCGAAUAUUUUCCAAACAGAGAAAUAAUAAAUAAAACUAGAUUGCAUUCUCUCGAUAAGAAAA